Molecule: ribosomal RNA, 510 nt
Filed under: uncultured bacterium
Lineage: Bacteria
Description: bacterial SSU rRNA
Rfam family: Bacterial small subunit ribosomal RNA
Source: RNAcentral
UGAACGCUGGUGGCGUAGCUUAAUACAUGCAAGUCGAACGAACGAGCCCUAACCGAAGAUGAUGACGUGCUUGCACUGAAUCUGAUUCGACCUUAGGGUACUGAGUGGCGGACGGGUGAGUAACGCGUGGGUAACCUGCCUUAGACAGGGGGAUAACAUCAAGAAAUUGGUGCUAAUACCGCAUAUGCUCACAGUAUCGCAUGAUACAGUGAGGAAAACUCCGGUGGUCUAAGAUGGACCCGCGUCUGAUUAGCUAGUUGGAGGGGUAACGGCCCACCAAGGCGACGAUCAGUAGCCGACUUGAGAGAGUGAUCGGCCACAUUGGGACUGAGACACGGCCCAAACUCCUACGGGAGGCAGCAGUAGGGAAUAUUGCACAAUGGGGGAAACCCUGAUGCCAGCGACACCGCGUGAAGGAUGAAGUAUUUCGGUAUGUAAACUUCUAUCAGCAAGGAAGAAAAUGACGGUACUUGACUAAGAAGCCCCGGCUAAAUACGUGCCAGCCGCAGC